This 960-nucleotide ribosomal RNA is filed under the name uncultured bacterium. RNAcentral describes it as "bacterial SSU rRNA". It matches the Rfam family "Bacterial small subunit ribosomal RNA", at positions 8 to 957 of the family's 1533-position model. The record is from RNAcentral.
AGAGUUUGAUCCUGGCUCAGAUUGAACGCUGGCGGCAUGCCUAACACAUGCAAGUCGAACGGAAACGAUGCUAGCUUGCUAGCAGGCGUCGAGUGGCGGACGGGUGAGUAAUGUAUAGGGAUCUGCCUAGUAGUGGGGGACAACAUGUGGAAACGCAUGCCAAUACCGCAUACGCUCUACGGAGGAAAGUGGGGGACCUUUCGGGGCCUCAUGCUACUAGAUGAACCUAUAUUGGAUUAGCUUGUUGGUAAGGUAAUGGCUUACCAAGGCGACGAUCCAUAGCUGGUUUGAGAGAAUGAUCAGCCACACUGGGACUGAGACACGGCCCAGACUCCUACGGGAGGCAGCAGUGGGGAAUAUUGCACAAUGGAGGAAACUCUGAUGCAGCAAUGCCGCGUGUGUGAAGAAGGCCUUAGGGUUGUAAAGCACUUUCAGACGUGAGGAAAAGUAAUAGUUUAAUAAAUUAUUGCCUUGACGUUAACGUCAGAGGAAGGACCGGCUAACUCCGUGCCAGCAGCCGCGGUAAUACGGAGGGUCCAAGCGUUAAUCGGAAUUACUGGGCGUAAAGCGCGCGUAGGCGGAUAUUUAAGUCAGAUGUGAAAUCCCUGGGCUCAACCUAGGAACUGCAUUUGAUACUGGAUAUCUAGAGUAUGGUAGAGGUGAGUGGAAUUUCAGGUGUAGCGGUGAAAUGCGUAGAGAUCUGAAGGAACAUCAGUGGCGAAGGCGACUCACUGGGCCAUUACUGACGCUGAGGUGCGAAAGCGUGGGUAGCAAACAGGAUUAGAUACCCUGGUAGUCCACGCCCUAAACGAUGUCAACUAGGUGUAUGGGAGUUUAACUCCUGUGUAUCGAAGCUAACGCGAUAAGUUGACCGCCUGGGGAGUACGGUCGCAAGACUAAAACUCAAAUGAAUUGACGGGGGCCCGCACAAGCGGUGGAGCAUGUGGUUUAAUUCGAUGC